GGGGAAUCUCUGUAGCUCAGGGGUAGAAUAUCUGCCUUGCAUGCAGAAGGGCCCAGUUCCCAUUCCUGGCAUCUUCA
Molecule: non-coding RNA, 77 nt
Organism: Podarcis lilfordi (Lilford's wall lizard)
Lineage: Eukaryota; Metazoa; Chordata; Lepidosauria; Squamata; Lacertidae
Source: the annotation of a GenBank genome assembly